GCUGGGCGUGGUGAUGCACGCCUGUAAUCCCAGCUACUCAGGAGGCUGAGUCAGGAGAAUCGCUUGAACCUAGGGGGCAGAGGUUGCAGUGAGUCAAGAUCGCAUCACUGCACUCCAGCCUGGGCAACAGAGUGAUACUCUGUCUCAA
Papio anubis (olive baboon) is the source of this 148-nucleotide unclassified non-coding RNA. It matches the Rfam family "Metazoan signal recognition particle RNA". Rfam says of the family: The signal recognition particle (SRP) is a universally conserved ribonucleoprotein. It is involved in the co-translational targeting of proteins to membranes. The record is from Ensembl. Lineage: Eukaryota; Metazoa; Chordata; Mammalia; Primates; Cercopithecidae.